This 280-nucleotide ribosomal RNA is filed under the name Anaerostipes hadrus ATCC 29173 = JCM 17467. RNAcentral describes it as "Anaerostipes hadrus DSM 3319 partial 16S ribosomal RNA". It matches the Rfam family "Bacterial small subunit ribosomal RNA", at positions 497 to 776 of the family's 1533-position model. Lineage: Bacteria; Bacillati; Bacillota; Clostridia; Lachnospirales; Lachnospiraceae. The record is from RNAcentral.
UAUGGUGUGUGCCAGCCGCCGCGGUAAUACGUAGGGGGCAAGCGUUAUCCGGAAUUACUGGGUGUAAAGGGUGCGUAGGUGGUAUGGCAAGUCAGAAGUGAAAACCCAGGGCUUAACUCUGGGACUGCUUUUGAAACUGUCAGACUGGAGUGCAGGAGAGGUAAGCGGAAUUCCUAGUGUAGCGGUGAAAUGCGUAGAUAUUAGGAGGAACAUCAGUGGCGAAGGCGGCUUACUGGACUGAAACUGACACUGAGGCACGAAAGCGUGGGGAGCAAACAGG